CAGCAGCCGCGGUAAUACCGGCGGCCCGAGUGGCGGCCACUAUUAUUGGGCCUAAAGCGUCCGUAGCCGGGCUGGUAAGUCCCCCGGGAAAUCUGGCGGCUUAACCGUCAGAAUGCCGGAGGAUACUCCCAGCCUAGGGAGCGGGAGAGGCCGAGGGUAUUCCCGGAGUAGGGGUGAAAUCCUAUAAUCCCGGGAGGACCACCUGUGGCGAAGGCGCUCGGCUGGAACGCGUCCGACGGUGAGGGACGAAGGCCAGGGGAGCAAACCGGAUUAGAUACCCGGGUAGUCCUGGCUGUAAACGAUGCGGACUUUGUGUCGGACAAGCUAUGAGCUUGUCCGGUGCCGGAGGGAAACCGUUAAGUCCGCCGCCUGGGGAGUACGGCCGCAAGGCUGAAACUUAAAGGAAUUGGCGGG
This 414-nucleotide ribosomal RNA is filed under the name uncultured microorganism. RNAcentral's name for it is "bacterial SSU rRNA". It matches the Rfam family "Archaeal small subunit ribosomal RNA", at positions 459 to 872 of the family's 1478-position model. The record is from RNAcentral.